CCUACGGGAGGCAGCAGUGAGGAAUAUUGGUCAAUGGGCGAGAGCCUGAACCAGCCAAGUCGCGUGAGGGAUGACGGCCCUACGGAUUGUAAACUUCUUUUGUCGGGGAGCAAUGGCGUGCACGCGUGGGCGGAGGGAGAGUACCUGCAGAAAAAGCAUCGGCUAACUCCGUGCCAGCAGCCGCGGUAAUACGGAGGAUGCGAGCGUUAUCCGGAUUUAUUGGGUUUAAAGGGUGCGUAGGCGGAAUAUCAAGUCAGCGGUAAAAUGUCGGGGCUCAACCCCGUCGGGCCGUUGAAACUGGGGAUCUUGAGUGGGCGAGAAGUAUGCGGAAUGCGUGGUGUAGCGGUGAAAUGCAUAGAUAUCACGCAGAACUCCGAUUGCGAAGGCAGCAUACCGGCGCCCGACUGACGCUGAGGCACGAAAGCGUGGGGAUCGAACAGGAUUAGAUACCCGGGUAGUC
RNAcentral lists this ribosomal RNA (460 nucleotides) under uncultured bacterium. Its description in RNAcentral is "partial 16S ribosomal RNA". It matches the Rfam family "Bacterial small subunit ribosomal RNA", at positions 338 to 795 of the family's 1533-position model. The record is from RNAcentral.